UUAUUUUUGGCUAAAAGAAAAUGUGGAAGAUAUUUGUAAGAAUGCAGAGGCAAGUUUUAGUUUGGAUCAAAUAUCUUCACAUGAUUAUGAACAAAAUAUCCAAGAUGUGGUGAAUGUACAAACAUCAUCACAGGAUUAUGAACAAAAUAUCCAAGAUGUGGUGAAUGUACAAACAUCAUCACAGGAUUACGAGUUAAAUACACAUGAUCUUUUAACUGAUAUUGUUAAUCCUACUGAUAUAUAAGA
Gordionus sp. m RMFG-2023 is the source of this 246-nucleotide long non-coding RNA. RefSeq lists it as uncharacterized. The transcript has 4 exons. NCBI's taxonomy places the organism in Eukaryota, Metazoa, Nematomorpha, Gordioida, Chordodea, Parachordodidae. The record is from RefSeq and is a predicted model, not a curated record.